Molecule: long non-coding RNA, 258 nt
Filed under: Malus domestica (apple)
Lineage: Eukaryota; Viridiplantae; Streptophyta; Magnoliopsida; Rosales; Rosaceae
Description: long non-coding RNA (MDOM_LNC018950)
Source: RNAcentral
UCGAAGCGCCGAUCUCAGAUAUCGAAGAGGCGCCAGUCUUUUUCAGCCUCGUCAGCACCUAUCACAUGCACACUCAGCUUUGCGAAAAUCACGGAUAAUUUGUCGAAGCGCCGAUCUCAGAUAUCGAAGAGGCGCCAGUCUUUUUCAGCCUCGUCAGCACCUGUCACAUGCACACUUAGCUUUGCGGAAAUUACGGGCAAUUUGUCGAAGAUUUCUGAUGAAGAAGAAAGCGCGUGGAGCCAUACUGAUCAAUCACUC